This is a long non-coding RNA of Sarcophilus harrisii (Tasmanian devil), 1151 nucleotides long. RefSeq lists it as uncharacterized. NCBI's taxonomy places the organism in Eukaryota, Metazoa, Chordata, Mammalia, Dasyuromorphia, Dasyuridae. The transcript has 5 exons. The record is from RefSeq and is a predicted model, not a curated record.
AAAUGGCAGAGAAUUGAAUUUGCCCGGGAUGGAGCCUGAUUCUGAGCCCCGGGAACCAAAGGAAGGGAACAAGCAUUUCCCGGGGGCCAGCGCGGGCCAGGCUGAUCAGGGCACAAAGAGCAUCUCAUUCGGGCCUCCCGACAGUUCUGGGCCGGAGGGCUACCGUGACCUUCUUUUUACAGAUGAGGAAACUGAGGCAGACGGUGGGCAAGUGACUUCUCCAUUCAAAUACAUUCGGCAAACAUUGUAGCUGGCUUCUAAAGUACAGAUUCUCACAGUGAAAAUUUAACAACCGGCUCUUGGCAGCCAGCGUGAGCUGCUCCAACAGAUCUCUGUCCAUGCUUAUGCAGUGCCUACAUGAGCCUUGAACCAAAAGAUUUCACUUCAGAGAAAGACGCAACAAACUUUAAGAACAGAGAUACCGCAAGAACCCUCAUGUCGACAGUCUCCCUGUUCUCUGAGACACAACAAUAUUGAAAUUGGGCUGAUGAAUAACCUGCCCGUGGCCUUUAAGUGUUUAAGUGAAAGGAAGAGUCGAUCAAUAUGGCAACUUUGUUGUCUUGCUUUAAGAAAUUGACCAGUGGCCUCAACCUUCAGCAACCACAAUCCCGAUCAAUCGGCACCAUCGAUGUGGAGGCAAGACCCUCCACCAGCAAAAAGAGGAUGACUCCCUGAAGUAUCUAGAACUGAACCACAGCAUUUCUGAGAUGUGCCCGAACAGAAUCUGCAGGGAAAAGACAUGGAUUCUAAUCCUGACUCGGUCCUUGUUAGCUGUGUGUCUUUGGUUGAGCGACAGUACAGUGAAGUUACCCACAGUCCUCCCUAGCUCGUGGCAGAGACCAAAGAAUUCUGGAGAAAACCGCAGGAAGACAGGGCCAGCUUCUUUAGGGGCGCCACUCGGCCAUCGCCAUACAGGUCAGAAAACCAAAAGGGCAAAGUCCACCUGGCCCUGCAGGGAGCACAAAUAGCAGCACCUCCAUUUUACAGAUGAGGGAAGGAAGACAGAGAGGGCCCGUGACUAGUCAAAAGCCAAGGGAGAAACGAGCUGUGAGGUCUUGGGACCCUUAACCAGAGCUGCUGCUCGGCCCCCCCCCAGGCUCCAAAGGCCCCAUUUCUCUGAUAUGGGACAGAGAUGUCCCACCCACUUCAUG